Molecule: transfer RNA, 99 nt
Filed under: Acidobacteriota bacterium
Lineage: Bacteria; Pseudomonadati; Acidobacteriota
Description: Acidobacteria bacterium (sponge metagenome) tRNA-Sec
Rfam family: Selenocysteine transfer RNA
Source: RNAcentral
GGAAGCGCUCGGGGGCUGGUGCCUCCUGCGGUCUUCAAAACCGUUGUCCGGGGCGUGAUGCGUCACGGGGGUGGGUUCGAUUCCCAUGCGCUUCCGCCA